This 1234-nucleotide ribosomal RNA is filed under the name metagenome. Its description in RNAcentral is "bacterial LSU rRNA". It matches the Rfam family "Bacterial large subunit ribosomal RNA", at positions 1564 to 2807 of the family's 2925-position model. The record is from RNAcentral.
UGAAUACGAGACGCUACGGCGUCGAAGCAGUCUAUGUCAUACUUCCAAGAAAAGCUUGCACUGUCAUAAACAAAUAAUGCCUGUACCAUAACCGACACAGGUGGGUAGGUAGAGUAUACUAAGGGGCGCGAGAUAACUCUCUCUAAGGAACUCGGCAAAAUGACUCCGUAACUUCGGGAGAAGGAGUGCCUUAUUUAUAAGGUCGCAAUAACAAGAUCCAAGCAACUGUUUAUCAAAAACACAGGUCUCCGCUAAGUCGUAAGACGAUGUAUGGGGGCUGACGCCUGCCCAGUGCCAGAAGGUUAAAGAAGUUGGUUAGUGUAUGCGAAGCUGAUGACUGAAGCCCUGGUGAACGGCGGCCGUAACAAUAACGGUCCUAAGGUAGCGAAAUUCCUUGUCGGGUAAGUUCCGACCCGCACGAAAGGCGUAAUGAUUUGGAUACUGUCUCGGAGAGAGGCUCGGUGAAAUAGACUUGUCUGUGAAGAUGCGGACUACCUGCACCAGGACAGAAAGGCCCUAUGAAGCUUUACUGUAACUUGAAAUUGGAAUUGGACUUUGCUUGCGCAGUAUAGGUGGGAAGCGUUGAAAAUAUUCUUGCGGGAGUAUUGGAGCUAUCAGUGAGAUACCACUCUUGUAAUGUUAGAUUUCUAACUUUGAACCAUAAUCUGGUCAAAGAACAGUUUCAGGUGGGCAGUUUGACUGGGGCGGUCGCCUCCCAAAUGGUAACGGAGGCGUACAAAGGUUUCCUCUGAACGGAUAGAAAUCGUAUCUAGAGUGUAAAGGCAUAAGGAAGCUUGACUGUGAGACCUACAAGUCGAGCAGGGACGAAAGUCGGUCUUAGUGAUCUGACGGUACUGAGUGGAAAGGCCGUCACUCAACGGAUAAAAGUUACUCUAAGGAUAACAGGCUGAUCUCCCCCAAGAGUUCACAUCGACGGGGAGGUUUGGCACCUCGAUGUCGGCUCAUCGCAUCCUGGGGCGGUAGUACGUCCCAAGGGUUGGGCUGUUCGCCCAUGAAAGCGGUACGCGAGCUGGGUUCAGAACGUCGUGAGACAGUUCGGUCCAUAUCCGGUGUAGGCGCUAGAAUAUUGAGAGGAGCCUUCUUUAGUACGAGAGGACCGAGAAGGACACACCGCUGGUGUACCAGUUAUCGUGCCAACGGUAAACGCUGGGUAGCUAUGUGUGGAGUGGAUAACCGCUGAAAGCAUCUAAGUGGGAAGCCCACCUCGAGAUGA